GCUAUAAAAGGAUUUUGAAAAUCUUUAAAGGAAACUUUUUCCACUUAGUG
RNAcentral lists this transfer RNA (50 nucleotides) under Ampullaceana lagotis. RNAcentral's name for it is "tRNA-Ser". The record is from RNAcentral. Lineage: Eukaryota; Metazoa; Mollusca; Gastropoda; Lymnaeidae.